GAUGAACGCUAGCUACAGGCUUAACACAUGCAAGUCGAGGGGUAACAAGAGAAAAGCUUGCUUUUCUUGUUGACGACCGGCGCACGGGUGAGUAACGCGUAUCCAACCUGCCUAUAACUAGGGAAUAACCUUGCGAAAGUAAGACUAAUGCCCUAUGACUUCCUUUGGCGGCAUCAACAAAGGAAUAAAGAUUGAUCGGUUAUAGAUGGGGAUGCGUCUGAUUAGCUUGUUGGCGGGGUAACGGCCCACCAAGGCAACGACCAGUAGGGGUUCUGAUAGGAAGGUCCCCCACAUUGGAACUGAGACACGGUCCAAACUCCUACGGGAGGCAGCAGUGAGGAAUAUUGGUCAAUGGGCGGAAGCCUGAACCAGCCAAGUAGCGUGCAGGAUGACGGCCCUAUGGGUUGUAAACUGCUUUUAUACAGGGAUAAAGUUAGCCACGUGUGGUUAUUUGCAGGUACUGUAUGAAUAAGGACCGGCUAAUUCCGUGCCAGCCGCCGCGGUAA
This 506-nucleotide ribosomal RNA is filed under the name uncultured bacterium. RNAcentral describes it as "partial 16S ribosomal RNA". It matches the Rfam family "Bacterial small subunit ribosomal RNA", at positions 28 to 523 of the family's 1533-position model. The record is from RNAcentral.